This is a long non-coding RNA of Pyrgilauda ruficollis (rufous-necked snowfinch), 305 nucleotides long. RefSeq lists it as uncharacterized. The transcript has 3 exons. The record is from RefSeq and is a predicted model, not a curated record. Lineage: Eukaryota; Metazoa; Chordata; Aves; Passeriformes; Passeridae.
GUCUGAGCUUCCUGACCUUAUGGGAGAGGACGGAGCUGGGCAGGACAGCCUUGCUGCUGCUCUCUUCUGCAUGUGAUGAUCCAGGGCAACACUUGAGGGAAUCCAGGGAAGACUGUGCUGGAAUAACUUCCAUCUUCUCCUCACACACCAGAAACCUGAUCCUCUGACAUGCAGAGUGCCCUCCUGAGCUCAGGAUGCUUCAGUGGGAGUCCUGGGAGUGUCCUAAAGCAAACCUGCAGGAUGUGAAAGACUGAGCAGAGGUCUGUCCCAGCUCCUGGAAGUGCUCCAUCCUACUCUGCUGCCUG